UGUCCCCUGGCCCAGCUGGUUAAGGCGCACGACUGUUAUGAAGAUUCGCUGAUAUCGUGAGAUCGAGAGUUCGACCCUCUCGGGGACAG
Molecule: non-coding RNA, 89 nt
Organism: Mycena crocata
Lineage: Eukaryota; Fungi; Basidiomycota; Agaricomycetes; Agaricales; Mycenaceae
Source: the annotation of a GenBank genome assembly